GCGUUAAUCGGAUUUACUGGGCGUAAAGCGUGUGUAGGUGGUUUAUCGCGUCGGUUGUGAAAUCCCCGGGCUCAACCUGGGAACUGCUUCCGAUACGGGUAGACUAGAGUACGGUAGAGGGUGGUGGAAUUUCCGGUGUAGCGGUGAAAUGCGUAGAUAUCGGAAGGAACAUCAAUGGCGAAGGCAGCCGCCUGGGCCUGUACUGACGCUGAGACACGAAAGCGUGGGGAUCAAACAGGAUUAGAUACCCUGGUAGUCCACGCUGUAAACGAUGAGAACUUGACGUCGGCUUGCUUAGCGAGUCGGUGUCGUAGCUAACGCGAUAAGUUCUCCGCCUGGGGAGUACGGCCGCAAGGUUGAAACUCAAAGGAAUUGACGGGGGCCCGCACAAGCGGUGGAGUAUGUGGUUUAAUUCGAUGCAACGCGAAGAACCUUACCUGGUCUUGACAUGUCUGGAAUCCUGCAGAGAUGCGGGAGUGCCUUCGGGAAUCAGAACACAGGUGCUGCAUGGCU
This 513-nucleotide ribosomal RNA is filed under the name uncultured Sinobacteraceae bacterium. RNAcentral describes it as "bacterial SSU rRNA". It matches the Rfam family "Bacterial small subunit ribosomal RNA", at positions 538 to 1050 of the family's 1533-position model. Lineage: Bacteria; Pseudomonadati; Pseudomonadota; Gammaproteobacteria; Nevskiales; Nevskiaceae. The record is from RNAcentral.